RNAcentral lists this small RNA (28 nucleotides) under Bombyx mori (domestic silkworm). Its description in RNAcentral is "ovarian small RNA-13694". Lineage: Eukaryota; Metazoa; Arthropoda; Insecta; Lepidoptera; Bombycidae. The record is from RNAcentral.
CCCGCUUGACUGGCGGACUUCACCGGGC